AAGUUUGACCUCAAAUCAGGUAGGGUUACCCGCUGAACUUAAGCAUAUCAUAAA
This 54-nucleotide ribosomal RNA is filed under the name Nakaseomyces glabratus. Its description in RNAcentral is "[Candida] glabrata partial 28S ribosomal RNA". The record is from RNAcentral. Lineage: Eukaryota; Fungi; Ascomycota; Saccharomycetes; Saccharomycetales; Saccharomycetaceae.